UGAAGGUCCUAUGGAUUGUAAACUGCUUUUGUAAGGGAAGAAUAAGGAGUACGUGUACUUUGAUGACGGUACCUUACGAAUAAGCAUCGGCUAACUCCGUGCCAGCAGCCGCGGUAAUACGGAGGAUGCGAGCGUUAUCCGGAAUCAUUGGGUUUAAAGGGUCCGUAGGCGGGCUGAUAAGUCAGAGGUGAAAGCGCUUAGCUCAACUAAGCAACUGCCUUUGAAACUGUCAGUCUUGAAUGAUUGUGAAGUAGUUGGAAUGUGUAGUGUAGCGGUGAAAUGCUUAGAUAUUACACAGAACACCGAUAGCGAAGGCAUAUUACUAACAAUUUAUUGACGCUGAUGGACGAAAGCGUGGGGAGCGAACAGGAUUAGAUACCCUGGUAGUCCACGCUGUAAACGAUGGAUACUAGCUGUUUGGAGCAAUCUGAGUGGCUAAGCGAAAGUGAUAAGUAUCCCACCUGGGGAGUACGCACGCAAGUGUGAAACUCAAAGGAAUUGACGGGGGCCCGCACAAG
RNAcentral lists this ribosomal RNA (518 nucleotides) under uncultured bacterium. RNAcentral describes it as "bacterial SSU rRNA". It matches the Rfam family "Bacterial small subunit ribosomal RNA", at positions 409 to 929 of the family's 1533-position model. The record is from RNAcentral.